GGUUUUAUAGUCAAUAAUGAUAUUAGAUUGCAAUUCUAAAGGAAUAAUAUAUUAAAUUAUUAAAACUU
RNAcentral lists this transfer RNA (68 nucleotides) under Myathropa semenovi. RNAcentral's name for it is "tRNA-Cys". Lineage: Eukaryota; Metazoa; Arthropoda; Insecta; Diptera; Syrphidae. The record is from RNAcentral.